GAGGGUGCGAGCGUUAAUCGGAAUUACUGGGCGUAAAGCGUGCGUAGACGGUUAUUUAAGUCGGAUGUGAAAGCCCCGGGCUCAACCUGGGAAUUGCAUUCGAGACUGAAUAGCUAGGGUACGGUAGAGGGAAGCGGAAUUUCCGGUGCAGCGGUGAAAUGCGUAGAUAUCGGAAGGAACAUCAGUGGCGAAAGCGGCUUCCUGGACCAGUACCGACGUUCAGGCACGAAAGCGUGGGGAGCAAACAGGAUUAGAUACCCUGGUAGUCCACGCCAUAAACGAUGAGGACUAGACGCUGGAGGGUUAAGCCUUUCAGUGUCGUAGCUAACGCGCUAAGUCCUCCGCCUGGGGAGUACGGCCGCAAGGUUG
RNAcentral lists this ribosomal RNA (369 nucleotides) under uncultured organism. Its description in RNAcentral is "bacterial SSU rRNA". It matches the Rfam family "Bacterial small subunit ribosomal RNA", at positions 528 to 896 of the family's 1533-position model. The record is from RNAcentral.